GUGGGGAAUUUUGGACAAUGGGCGCAAGCCUGAUCCAGCAAUGCCGCGUGCAGGAAGAAGGCCUUCGGGUUGUAAACUGCUUUUGUACGGAACGAAACGGUCCGGGUUAAUACCCUGGGCUAAUGACGGUACCGUAAGAAUAAGCACCGGCUAACUACGUGCCAGCAGCCGCGGUAAUACGUAGGGUGCAAGCGUUAAUCGGAAUUACUGGGCGUAAAGCGUGCGCAGGCGGUUUUGUAAGACAGUGGUGAAAUCCCCGGGCUCAACCUGGGAACUGCCAUUGUGACUGCAAGGCUAGAGUGCGGCAGAGGGGGAUGGAAUUCCGCGUGUAGCAGUGAAAUGCGUAGAUAUGCGGAGGAACACCGAUGGCGAAGGCAAUCCCCUGGGCCUGCACUGACGCUCAUGCACGAAAGCGUGGGGAGCAAACAGGAUUAGAUACCCGUGUAGUCC
Molecule: ribosomal RNA, 450 nt
Filed under: uncultured bacterium
Lineage: Bacteria
Description: partial 16S ribosomal RNA
Rfam family: Bacterial small subunit ribosomal RNA
Source: RNAcentral